UUGCUGGGGGAUUAGUGGCGAACGGGUGAGUAACACGUGAGUAACCUGCCCUUGACUCUGGGAUAAGCCUGGGAAACUGGGUCUAAUACCGGAUACGACCAUCUGGCGCAUGUCAUGGUGGUGGAAAGCUUUUGUGGUUUUGGAUGGACUCGCGGCCUAUCAGCUUGUUGGUGGGGUAAUGGCCUACCAAGGCGACGACGGGUAGCCGGCCUGAGAGGGUGACCGGCCACACUGGGACUGAGACACGGCCCAGACUCCUACGGGAGGCAGCAGUGGGGAAUAUUGCACAAUGGGCGCAAGCCUGAUGCAGCGACGCCGCGUGAGGGAUGACGGCCUUCGGGUUGUAAACCUCUUUCAGUAGGGAAGAAGCGAAAGUGACGGUACCUGCAGAAGAAGCGCCGGCUAACUACGUGCCAGCAGCCGCGGUAAUACGUAGGGCGCAAGCGUUAUCCGGAAUUAUUGGGCGUAAAGAGCUCGUAGGCGGUUUGUCGCGUCUGCUGUGAAAGACCGGGGCUCAACUCCGGUUCUGCAGUGGGUACGGGCAGACUAGAGUGCAGUAGGGGAGACUGGAAUUCCUGGUGUAGCGGUGAAAUGCGCAGAUAUCAGGAGGAACACCGAUGGCGAAGGCAGGUCUCUGGGCUGUAACUGACGCUGAGGAGCGAAAGCAUGGGGAGCGAACAGGAUUAGAUACCCUGGUAGUCCAUGCCGUAAACGUUGGGCACUAGGUGUGGGGGACAUUCCACGUUUUCCGCGCCGUAGCUAACGCAUUAAGUGCCCCGCCUGGGGAGUACGGCCGCAAGGCUAAAACUCAAAGGAAUUGACGGGGGCCCGCACAAGCGGCGGAGCAUGCGGAUUAAUUCGAUGCAACGCGAAGAACCUUACCAAGGCUUGACAUGAACCGGUAAUACCUGGAAACAGGUGCCCCGCUUGCGGUCGGUUUACAGGUGGUGCAUGGUUGUCGUCAGCUCGUGUCGUGAGAUGUUGGGUUAAGUCCCGCAACGAGCGCAACCCUCGUUCUAUGUU
RNAcentral lists this ribosomal RNA (1023 nucleotides) under Paenarthrobacter nitroguajacolicus. RNAcentral's name for it is "bacterial SSU rRNA". It matches the Rfam family "Bacterial small subunit ribosomal RNA", at positions 81 to 1116 of the family's 1533-position model. Lineage: Bacteria; Bacillati; Actinomycetota; Actinomycetes; Micrococcales; Micrococcaceae. The record is from RNAcentral.